The submitters of this non-coding RNA (90 nucleotides) gave its source as unclassified sequences. The record is from Rfam.
UAGAGGAGGAACCAAUAUGACGGAGUCAUAUUAUCGGAAUGGUUCCGACGACGUGCCCCGCUCGCAUGAGCGAGAGGGGCGAUACAUUAU